AUUGGACGCGUGUCACUUGAUAAAACUGUCACCCGGAACACAGUGAUCGCGUACACUGGCGAGUCAUCGAUUGAUAAGCAGCGGUCGAACGGAGGAACCGAUCGUCUAUUAUAUUUAUAUCGGAGCAAUACAAACCUUUUUUACUUAAAUCUGACUUCAUCGUUACGUGGGAUACGCGAGAAUGAAUUUAGAAUUGGAAUGGAGUCGGAAGCCGAGGGAAUGAGAUUUCGGAAUUUCCUUCGCGUGAAAUUGGUUACAUUGGAAAAUGAACGAAAGUUCCAUAUAAAUAUAGACAUUUCGAGCCUCUUCCACUCUAUCGAGAAAAAAAGGAUUUACUGAAGAAGCUAAUUUUGAAACUUGCGUCGCUCGAAACUAGUUGCAUCGCGAAGAAGAAUCGAAUGAUGAAAAGCGGAUAGAAAAAUUGAUCUUCUUCACUUUAUAAUUGAAUAUGUAGUUGAUUACAUUAAAAUAAGGAAAUUACGUAAUGAGUUGACUUCUUGAACCAGCGAGUUUCACAAUCGCACGAAGAUGUAAGAAUAAUCGAAGGUGACCGAAAGCUGAAUUUCUUCAGACGUAUUUGAAAUUCAUCAUGCGCAUUUAUGAAGAUUUGUGCAUAGUAAGUCUGAUUUUAAUAAAAUCAUAUCAACAUUAAUCGUUAUCACAUAUCGUUCUUGAUUCACGAAUUUUUGAUUUUCUUAAAAAGCAACUGUCGGAAAAAUAUUCUCUAAAAUUCGCCUUUUAAUAAAGAAACUACGAUUGUAAUAAAAGUGUAGUAGAAAGUUUUAACACAAUUAACGCAAUAUAUAUCGAUACGCGCGUCCUUCGAUUUAUCCAACGAACGAAUGCAUAUUCUUGGUAAAACGUCAAUUUCUUUUUCUUCCAAUAAACAAUAAGUUAUAAUACUUACUACACGUAUAAUUAUAAUCGCUAAUAUAAUAGUAUUCUUAUAAUAUUUUCAUAAUUUACUUCUUAACAAAGUAGAUACAAUAGUAAUGAAAUGAACGAUAAUUUCACGUUCAAAAAUACGCAGAAAAUUUGUCUUAUAGAGCAAUUUCAACAUAAUAUACUUUAGCAAUAUGUUACAGUCAUUUAUGGCAGUUUUCCAUGAAUUGUGUAUAUCCGAGCAGUGAAAUAGGUCACGACUAAAGUCCGGUACUUUAUGUAUUCCUUCGAUUCAAAAUAACGAAUUAACUGUGUUAAUUUAUGUAUUCCUUCGAUUCAAAAUAACGAAUUAACUGUGUUACAAUCUUCAUAACAUGUUACAACAACUAAUAGACUUCGAUGUUGCAAUUACAACUUGGAAAUAGCACGUUGUAUAUAUUUUCAAGUGUUUUUUUAUGUCGUUGUUAAGGUAAUGUAUCGCUUUAUUCCUUGUAAUUAUUAUAAUCAGAUUACGUCGAUUGAUUGAUAUCUUUCCUUUGCAUUAAUUGUGGCAUUAGUUAGUCGUUUAAUAAUGGAAGAAGAUAUCGAAUGGACGGAAAACGUACAUUAUAAUCGAAUGUACGUAAUAUACAGAAACAUAUAUCCUAAACAUCAUAGAUCGUAAUUAUUUAGUUGUAUUAACAACGACAUGAAUUUACACGAGGUUCGUUGUUCAAAAAAUAAUUUCUUUAUUUAAUGGUCGUCUACCUUUUUACAUUUACAUUUACAUUUACCAGGACUAAACGAAAUCAGCCUGUCCUCGUUACUUAUCUUGAUUAAUUAAAAGAUUUCCCAAUUUUUUUUUUCUGAUUUCGAAAUCGACGCUUCAAUUCCUUUACUUCUAGCUUAGAAAUAGAAUAAUCAUAGGAAUCAUAAUUAUUAGGAAUUAUGACAUUACAUUAUUCAGAUUACGCAAGCAUAUCAUCCAUUAUAAAUUCUAUUUGGAACUAACAGGCUCGUAGAAAUUUUACAUAUUUCAUCCUUUUUCCGUGUUUGUAUAUACUAACUAACCAAUAACAACACAUGAAUAAAAAGAUGCUUCUCGUAAAUAGAGUUAUAUUGUAAAAAAUGGUAUUUCUAUAUCUUUCCCAUAAUAUAAGGUUUUUUAAAAAUACCUUUCUUGUAUUUUAAAACACCAGAUUGACGUGGAGCGAUUUUUAAAUUUUUAUUUCGAGUACAAAUUAUAAAUUACGUUCCUCGUUCCUGCAAAAUUAAAUGGAUGAUCAAAGGGUUAAAGGCUAUAUUAAACUUACCGCAUUCACAUUUACAUAUAUACAUAUCUGCAUUGCGCAGCACAUGACCAAAUACGUGCAAAGAAACUUUUCUCUUCAUAGUGUUUGGUAAUGCAAUCAAAUCGAUUGUUUACUUUAAAGCAAGCUGAGUAUCACAUUUUUAUACCAUUAUUCAGAAUUCCAGAAUCAAUUUUGUUUUUUAAAUUCAUGUCCUUACCUACAAAUGGAAAAAAGAUAAUUACAUUAUUACAAUAUCAAUUUUAUUAGAAAAGUCGUAAGAUCAAGCUUUUUAUCAACUAGUGAAUUAAUUUACAUUUACCGAUAAAAUAUCAAAGAAAUCGAUUGCUCCGUAUGAAGGUAAAAUUCGCUCACGAGACGAUUUGUUUCCGAGGAAAAUAAAUUUGUGAAUUUAUUGUUAAAAAUGAAGUCUUAGGUGGACAAAUUUUAUUCUAC
Bombus pyrosoma is the source of this 2606-nucleotide long non-coding RNA. RefSeq lists it as uncharacterized. Lineage: Eukaryota; Metazoa; Arthropoda; Insecta; Hymenoptera; Apidae. The transcript is spliced from 3 exons. The record is from RefSeq and is a predicted model, not a curated record.